This is a small nucleolar RNA of Carassius auratus (goldfish), 133 nucleotides long. Ensembl annotates it as small nucleolar RNA SNORA17. The record is from Ensembl. Lineage: Eukaryota; Metazoa; Chordata; Actinopteri; Cypriniformes; Cyprinidae.
UUUGCCCCUUGAGGCGUUGCAGUGUGACUGAUUCUGUCACUUCUGUGUCAUAAGGUGGCAUAGAGUAGAAGGACUAUGUCUACACCUAGUACCCUUAAUAAUGGGUGCUCAGUGUCAUUUAUAGCCCUACACA